CCUACGGGAGGCAGCAGUGGGGCAUAUUGCGCAAUGGGCGAAAGCCUGACGCAGCGACGCCGCGUGAGGGAUGAAGGUCUUCGGAUCGUAAACCUCUGUCAGCAGGGAAGAACGGUCACUGUGCUAAUCAGCAGUGAAUUGACGGUACCUGCAAAGGAAGCACCGGCUAACUCCGUGCCAGCAACCGCGGUAAUACGGAGGGUGCGAGCGUUAAUCGGAAUUACUGGGCGUAAAGCGCGCGUAGGCGGUAUGUAAAGUAAAGGGUGAAAUCCCCGCGCUCAACGUGGGAACUGCCUUUUAAACUGGCAAACUUGAGUGUGUGAGAGGAUAGUGGAAUUCCAGGUGUAGGAGUGAAAUCCGUAGAUAUCUGGAGGAACAUCAGUGGCGAAGGCGACUAUCUGGCACAUAACUGACGCUGAGGAGCGAAAGCGUGGGUAGCAACCAGGAUUAGAUACCCCAGUAGUC
Molecule: ribosomal RNA, 465 nt
Filed under: uncultured bacterium
Lineage: Bacteria
Description: partial 16S ribosomal RNA
Rfam family: Bacterial small subunit ribosomal RNA
Source: RNAcentral